This 311-nucleotide ribosomal RNA is filed under the name Escherichia coli. RNAcentral describes it as "bacterial SSU rRNA". It matches the Rfam family "Bacterial small subunit ribosomal RNA", at positions 1 to 306 of the family's 1533-position model. Lineage: Bacteria; Pseudomonadati; Pseudomonadota; Gammaproteobacteria; Enterobacterales; Enterobacteriaceae. The record is from RNAcentral.
UUAAAUUGAAGAGUUUGAUCAUGGCUCAGAUUGAACGCUGGCGGCAGGCCUAACACAUGCAAGUCGAACGGUAACAGGAAGCAGCUUGCUGCUUCGCUGACGAGUGGCGGACGGGUGAGUAAUGUCUGGGAAACUGCCUGAUGGAGGGGGAUAACUACUGGAAACGGUAGCUAAUACCGCAUAACGUCGCAAGACCAAAGAGGGGGACCUUCGGGCCUCUUGCCAUCGGAUGUGCCCAGAUGGGAUUAGCUUGUUGGUGGGGUAACGGCUCACCAAGGCGACGAUCCCUAGCUGGUCUGAGAGGAUGACCA